RNAcentral lists this ribosomal RNA (543 nucleotides) under uncultured Aspergillus. RNAcentral describes it as "eukaryotic LSU rRNA". The stretch from base 199 to 352 matches the Rfam family "5.8S ribosomal RNA". Lineage: Eukaryota; Fungi; Ascomycota; Eurotiomycetes; Eurotiales; Aspergillaceae. The record is from RNAcentral.
UCCGUAGGUGAACCUGCGGAAGGAUCAUUACCGUGAAGCGGCCAGGUUCGCCUGUGCCCGCUCUAAACCCGUGUCUACCAGCCAGUUGCUUCGGCGGGACGUGGCCCCGUCCACCGGCGGCUUCGGCCGCCGCGCGCCCGUCCGAGGAACGCGAGAACCAGCGUCACCCGCAGUCUGAGAGGAUCGAGAAACGAACAAAACUUUCAACAACGGAUCUCUUGGUUCCGGCAUCGAUGAAGAACGCAGCGAAAUGCGAUAAAUAAUGUGAAUUGCAGAAUUCAGUGAAUCAUCGAGUCUUUGAACGCACAUUGCGCCUCCUGGCAUUCCGGGAAGCACGCCUGUUCGAGCGUCAUUCCACCCCAUCAAGCCCGGCUUGGUCUUGGGCGUCGCCCCCGGGCGCGCCCCAAAAACGUCGGCGGAGUCGGGGCACCGAGCGUGACGCACUCACGGUCUCUGCGCCCCGGCCCGGCCUCACCACCCUCUAGUUGACCUCGGAUCAGGCGGGGAUACCCGCUGAACUUAAGCAUAUCAAUAAGCGGAGGA